UGUUUCGUCAGAAACAAUGAUUCUCCUCCUGAGAAAGGUAAUUCUCAAAAACCCUUUUCCCUCAUCACUUAUCCCUUUCCAUAAUCAUCUCCAUUACUUAUUAUCAUCUGCAAAAACAUCUCAUUUCGAAAAUGUAGUAAUUAAUCAUUGCAAGUCUGGGAAAAUCAACAACUUGAAUGAUGCUUUAGCUUACUUUAACAAUAUGGCAACAAUGACUCCACUACCAUCAACUAUGGCAUUCAACCAUAUACUCAGUUCACUUUCUGAUAAGGGGUUUUAUUCAGAUGUAAUCACAGUGUAUAAGAAGAUGAAUGAUAUUGGAAUUCAACCAUGUUACUUUACAUUGAACAUUUUGAUUAAUUCUUGUUGUGAAUUGAAUCAAAUUGAUUAUGGGUUUAGUUUGUUUGGUGGGAGUCUUAAAAGGGGUUAUGAUCCGGAUGUAAUUGUGUUUAGUAUUUUGAUUAAGGGGUUGUGUUUGGAAGGGAAGAUUUGUGAUGCUCGUGAACUGUUUGAUAAAAUGAUUGAAUUGGGGGUUCAGCCGAAUACCGUCACUUGUAGUACAAUGAUAACUGGGCUUUGCAGAGUUGGUGAAUUGGAUGAUGCGAUUGAGUUGCACAGGAAUAUGGGGGAAUGGAAUUGCGAACCUAAUAUUGUUUCUUAUAGUGUGAUCAUAGACACACUGUGCAAAAGAGGAUCAGUUGACGAGGCCCUGAAUCUGUUUUCUGAAAUGAUUGAUGAUUCCAGAAUUGUACCAAAUGUCAUUGUUUAUAGUUCUCUGAUUAACGGGCUCUGCAAGGCUGACAGGUUAAGUGAAGCGGUCAGACUCUUCGAUAGCAUGCCUAGUCGAGGAGUUUCUGCAAAUUCAUAUACUUACAGUUCACUAAUUCAUGGACUUUGCAAUUCUGACAUGCUAAGUGAAGCAGUUAGAGUCUUCGAAAGCAUGUCUAGUGAAGGAGUUUCUGCGAAUUCAUAUACUUAUAAAUCCCUAAUUCAUGGACUUUGCAGGCGUGGGUUAUGGAAGGAAACAAUGAGAUUAUUUGAUGAAAUGGUGGGGAGUGGGAUUUCACCCACAGUAGUUACUUUCAAUGUAUUAAUAGAUUCUCUGUGUAAAGAAGGAAGGAUGGAAGAAGCUUCCAGGAUAUUUGGUGUGAUGAUAAAGUUAUGCAGAGAACCUGAUGGAUAUACAUAUAAUUCCAUGAUACUAGGUCUAUGUUCCACAGGUAAGCUAGAGGAGGCACACAGAUUGUUUGAUUCAAUGUUGGAUAAGGGUCUUGAACAAGAUGUUUACAGCUUCAGUGUGUUGAUUAAUGGGUAUUGCAAGAGGUCUAGGUUGGAUGAAGCUAAUCAACUGUUCAAGAAAAUGCAAAACAAGGGAUUGAAACCCAACCAAGUUACGUAUAAUACACUAAUAGAUGGGCUAUGCAGGGCAGGGAAAAUUAAAACAGCGGAGAGCAUGUUAAUUGAAAUGCAAUCUGAUGGGGUAUCUCCGGAUAUAUUUACAUAUAAUGUACUUGUGAAUGCCUUGUGUAAAGCUGGAAAUAUUGAGAAGGCGAGACAAUGGUUUUCUGAAAUCCCUAGCAAAGGAUUAGUUGCGAACGUUGUAACAUAUACCACUAUGAUCAAUGGUUUGUUCAAACAAGGGAUGUUUAUUGAAGCCGAAAAACUUAUCAUCGAAAUGAAAAAUAAAGGUUGCAUGCCAAAUGCCACUACAUAUGAUACCGUUAUUAAGGGUUAUCUUUUGGAAAAUGAUGUUACAAGAGCAUUAGAGUUUCUCAAAGAAAUGCGCAGAAGGAAAUUGUCACUGACCGACGCCACUAAAUCUUUGUUGAGCAGUUGCUUGUCUGCAGAACAACUCAAAAACUUGGAGUUUCCUGAAAGCUAGUUAAGAUUGAUGCAACUUGCACGGGUAACAAAGGGUGGAUUUAUUCCCAUGCAUUGCGAAUGAUUGAGCCUCUAUUCAUGCCUUCUGUAGUUUUGUCAAGCAAGAACUUUCUUCACUUGCUUUGAUAUCAUGACUUAUGCUAAUUCCUCUUCAGACAACAUAUCGAAUGUGCUUAAUUAAGCUAUGUCGGGCAUGUUUACUAUAUCAGGUCACUUUUAUUGUUACCCACUUCAACAAUCCAGGUGUAUCGAAUACACAUAUCUGAGGAUUUCUUACCUCAAGCAAUCUCGGUCUUGGUUCAGUAGAAGCAUUAUUUGCUUGCUUUUGAAAUCGUUAAAGCUUCCCAUACAGAGAUCGCCAAAAGCAUUGUUAUCUGCACUUUCAAUGCUUGGAGAGUUUCAUCCGGCUUUCUUCUUCACGAUUUGGGUUGUAAAUGGUCAUGAUUUGUGAUGGUUAUUUUUCAGGUGUAUCGAAUACAUGGCUUAGACAAUCAUCCGGGAGAUCGGUAAUUGAUAAUCUUUUCCAGGCUUUAGGAUGGGCAUCAUCUAUCAUACUUUCUUCUUGUACUGCUUUUGAAGUUAGCUGGAGCUUACCUAACCCUAUGGGGGGGAAAAUAAUAUUGUUAAUUUUUGACGGGGGCGAUUUUGGAUGAGGUCAUGGGGACCGAUAAAAAACUGCCAUUUGUCAUCAAUUUUGUUAACUAAUUAGUCUCUUAAUUCGUACAAAAAGGGUGUUUAGGGAAUAUAGUUGGUCAUCGGUUUCCUUAUUUUUCUACUGUAUUCGAAGGAAGAAAAACUCAUGGAAUUGGCUUUUGUUAACUUGUAUAUCCGUAUACAUGUUAAGUUUGAUAAACAAUUAUUUUAUUUUUU
RNA transcript from Papaver somniferum (opium poppy), 2751 nucleotides. It is a transcript of the gene named pentatricopeptide repeat-containing protein At1g63080, mitochondrial-like, with no coding region annotated. The transcript has 3 exons. Lineage: Eukaryota; Viridiplantae; Streptophyta; Magnoliopsida; Ranunculales; Papaveraceae. The record is from RefSeq and is a predicted model, not a curated record.